AGGGUAAGUAAUACUCUAGUAAACAAAAAAGCCCCAAAUGAGAGGGGGAAAAAAAUCGAGAGAUGUGUAUUUAGAAGCUUUCUUUGCUUAUUUCAAUUUUUCUCAGAAUGUCUGAAUUUGAAAAUAAGUAAAAUCCAAGUUAAAUUAACUCCGUAUUUUAAAUACACCUUAUCUAAAUUAUGAUCUAAAAUAUUUGUGUCCUUAUUUUUAAUUUCACUUGAAAAUUUUUUGUCGUUUUCACUGCUACUCCUUCCAAAUUUCCUUCAUGCUUUUACAGUAGCUCUUUCUCAGCCUCCACUUUCUGUCUCCACUCAGGCAGAAUGUGCCAUUUGUCAUAAACUCAUGUGAGAAGACCAUCCCAGGCCUACCAGACAGAGGAAUUGAUCCCCAUCAGUGUAAAGGAUGAUCUCCUACCAUAUAUAUUUCUUAAUAUACUAAAUCUUUGAAUUUCUAUAGUCUGAGAGGCAGUAGGGAAAUUGCACCCACCUGAGUAUGUAAGUACUCAAAAACGUUGCUGAAUGUACGUCAAAUAAAAAUAACAAUAAUAUAUUUAACUUUACUUCUUCAGUUGUCAUUUAUACUUUGUUCUGGUCCUUAAGUGGGAAGAACAGUACAUGAAGCAGUGACUCUUGUAUUUGUGUUAAAUUUUUAUGCUGAAUACAUCUCUGCAAAAUGGGAAAGACUAAGUGUCUUUCAAAAACAAUGGCCAAAAUACUCUUGAAAAUUAAAUAAACUAAUAUUUUAUAUAAUUUGAAAUAUGUAGUAGGCUGUAUAAUGGAAAAAAAAUAUGUAGUCCUGGAGGAAUACAUAGUCUUGUUGCUGCGAUGGCUACAAUUAUAAACAGAGUCCCUCUAUAGUUCUCAUAAUAAAUAUAUGGAAAAGUAAAGCUCCCAGUUUUCUUCCUUGUUUGAAAUAUUAAAUAACAUUUUAUGAAAAACAUGACAUAGAAUCAAAUAGGAGAUAAACAUCCUCCCACAAGUAGGGUCAAUGAUGUAUAAUCACAUCCAAAAAUUUAGGAGUAGUGCCAAAAUGUCCUUUUAUUGAAAAAAGAAAACAGUAUUGUCCCUGCUAUAUUCCUUGUAUCUUUCUUGCUUGGGAUACAGUUGCCCAACACAAAAUAACUCCUUAUUCUAAGAGUUUCUAUCUACUUCUACCAAUAUGUUGAAAACACAUCCAAAGUUAAAGUUAUAUUAAUCUCUAAACAAACAAGCUCUGUUUAGAGCUUUAUUUCACCUUAUAGUAUUAUUGGUGGAGAUUCUUUAUAUUUUUAUAGAAUUAGGCACAGUGAUGGGUACAAAAUUAGUUCUCAAAAAUAAGAGUCAACUGGAUUGAAUCAAAAUCCUUGGGUAUUUAACCUUGGGAUUUGAAUAGUAACACUGUCUGUCUAAUUGCUUUUAAGCGAAAAUAGAUUGUUUGAAAAAAGAGUAGGGAGAUAUAUAAACCUAUUUUAUAAUUAAGUCUAUUUGGAGAUUAUUUCUACGUCUUUUAAGUGUUGUUGUUUUUCAUGUUCAGUCAGAACUGCUGAUACUGCUGAGGUUCUAAUCUGAUAAUUAUAAUAACAUAUUUUGAUUUAAAAAAUAAUCACAGUAAUUGAGUUUUAUUUUGCAGAAGGGAAUUUAAAAAACAGAAGCAGCAAUCAUAGAUAAAAAGGGAAUUUUUCAAGUCAGCAAAGAGUCAGUAUAAGUAAGAAGCAGCUCCAGAAAGGAACCACAUAUAUUAUCUGAAUAUUUAUCAUUUAUUUAUUAGACUUGUCUAAUCCAAAACAUCUGAUUUAAUUAUUCCUCUAUGAUAAAGAUGAAAUGUAUAUAUCAUUUAUAAACUACUUCUUGUUUUAAGCAAAAGUCAAAGCAGAGCCAUCUAAUGGACUAAAGUGACCCAUCCACUUUGUAGAUAUAUAUUUAUUGCUAACAUAAUGCCUGAACCUUAAAAGACUAAUAAAAAUUACCAUAGAAAUCUUUCUGUAGAUGGUCUUUGAAUACAAAAAUGCUGAUGUUCCCUAUUACGUAGCUAUUUGAAUUCAAAGAUUUAAACAUAUUUCAAUAUUUUUGUUUAUAUAUAAUUAUAAAAUAUUACUUUGGGCAAUUUAUUUUAAAAAUUAAUUUAAAAACAAGUGAUGGUGUCACAGAAUAGUUGAUAUUAAAGAGUUGGUAGUAAUAGAUAUAAUAGGCAAUUGAUUAAAAUAAAAACAAAGCAGGAUAAUGAGUCAACACUUUUUAGGGCUUAUAAAGUAUCAAGCACUCUUACAAUUGUGUUAUAUGUAUUAAUUAAUUUAAUUCAUGUGAAAUGCAAUGGAAGUUAAGGCACAAGAAUAUUGAAGAAUUAUCACCAAGACCACACAGCUGGGAUGAAAGAAAUUUGAGAUUAAAUUUAAAAAUACUGCUCCUUUAACUACUUUUAACCAUGUCAUUAUGGCCACCAGGGAUAAAUGUGACAAUUAUACCUUUAAAUUGUUUUUUAGAUUUAGAAUUUGUAAUUAUCAAGAUGACAUACUGAACAUUCUCUCAUGAUGCUGGGCAGCAGCAACAAGCCGUAGCUCGCAGUCAGCCAUGCAAUCCCAAGUAUAAACAACUUAUAUGCUUACAACCCAUUCUGCACCCAGACAACCAUUUUGUUUUUCACUUUCAGUACAGUGUUCAAUAUAUUACAUGAGAUAUUCAACACCUCAUUAUAAAAUAGGCUUUGUGUUAGGUGAUCUUGCUCACCUAUAUGCUAGUUUAAAUGUUCUGAACACAUUUAAAGUUGGCUAUGCUAAGCUCUGAAGUUCAAUAGGUUAAGUGUAUUAAAUGUAUUUUCUACUUAAAAUAUUUUCAGUUUAUGAUGAGUUUUUCAUUGUAAAUUGAAAAAGAUCUGUAUAGAUUAUUUCAUUUUGUUUUUAUUUGUAUCACUCAUCCUCAUGAGUGCUGAAAUUUGAGAGAAUAUCCUGUGCUCCUUUCUCUGGCCAUCACAGGAUAACAUAAGAGAACUGUAGAUCAAUGGAUGGUAAUGAGUAUUCAUUUUGAUAUGAGUAGAUAUGACUGACCAUGUAGAUAUGAAGAUUUAUUCACUGGUAUAUAAAAACUAAUAGAAUAAAAGGAAAAGAGAUGAGGACAUUUAUAAGUAAUCAAAAGAGUUAAUAACCAGGAGAUUCAGAAAAAUGUAUUAAUAAUGCUUUUCAACAGGCAUUUCAUGAUUUUAAUAUAGCAAAAAUUAUUUGCUUUAGUCAAAUGUUGGUGUUUGAUCACUGCUUUGUCAUAGGUAACACAAAAUAUUUUUUCAAUGAAAACAUAUACUGGACUCAUUGAUGAUGACAUGAGGCUGAUGAUGCUACCAAUACGUCUUCAUUACCUAUAAAAUGAUUCUUUGGGCAACCCUCCAAAACACUGGCAAAUGAUUUAUUAAUAAAAAAAUCUCAGCACAUCUCACAUAAACACACACACACAACAAUCACACAAAACACACACAAUCCUUAAUAAAUAGUUCAAUUUAUCAAGGAUUAAUUGAGGUGCCUAAUCUAGAAUAGAAUGUGAAAAGGAAUAUAUAAAUGGAAAAGGUCAUCCCUGGCUCAAGAUGCACUCAAAAAAAAAAAAAAAUGAGUGUGUAAGGUUCACAAAACAAGCUAGCAAAUCCAAUAUUUAAAUACUAUAAUGGCAAAUUUUAAAUACUUGGAAAAAAUUAAAUAUCACCUAUGAUAACCUAAAAGCCUCUUUCCAAUUCAAUUCAACUUUGUAAAACAUUAGGCUUAUUAUGAAGGACAUUUAUUGAAGAAUAAUAAUGAUAAUAUAGGAAAAAGUAAAAAUAUAUCUGUAUUGACAACAAAUUUUAUUAUUAGUUUGUUAGUUAAAUCUCAGAAAGUAUACUAAUCACAUAUUGAUGUGUAUUUACAAUAAAAUAACUGACCUAUUAAAUUGACAUCAAGUCUUUUUUAAAGGUUCUUAAUUUGUUCUGUGAUCAGUCAUCCUGUUGAUUACAUGUUCAAGUACAGUCCUAAUUGAUCAUGGAGUCUUUUACUAUAAAUUACAGCAGGGGAAUAACAGAUUUCACAGGUUGGCUGUGGCUUAAUGACAGAUUUCACAGUUUGAAUAGGAAAAGGAUAUAAACACACACAGAAAUAAGGUAGAUACAUGAAUUCAUGACGUGAAAAGUUCCUUUCUAAUGCAUAUAGAAACAUUGAUGAAUGUGAGAUACAAAGGGAAUAUUAAAGGCUAAAAAAAUAAUAACAUAUGCUAUCAAUUACCUCUACUGAAACUUUGUUUUUAAAGAAUCGAUAAAUAUGUAUAGGAUUUGAUGUUGAAAAUGCUCAACAUAUUAACCCAUGGAAUAAAAAUAUUCAGUUUAACUAAAAAUAUAAAUAAGUAAAAUUCUGAGCUACUUACUAACUUGUAGUUAAUAUUUCUUAUAUAUACAUGGUAUUUUCCACCCAGUACACCUUUGAUUUUUAAAGGAAUCAAUUCAUUGCAAGGACACAGAACUUUGUGAAAAUACAGUGUCUCUCCUUUCCAUACAAAACUGAGGUCCUUGUAUCAGAUUCAUGAAUACCUGAUCAUUAACAUGUCUUUAGAUUUUUGUCAAGCUUAUAAACUUUAAUGAUUAAGAUACCAGUUUCAAAACAACCAAAAUUCUGAUUCUCUUUGGGUUUGAGAGUGAUAUACUAUCUGGUGUAAUUUAAAAUUUCUUCUUUACAACUAGUUUUUGGAUCUUUAAAAUUACUAAGAAAAAGUUAAGUGAUUGCUAAUUCAAGGCUAGAUGAUAUAAGAAGUUGGAUUUUCUUAUAUUAUGUAGUAAGAUAAAAUAAUUAAAAGUAGAAUUCUGCUAAUAAAAUAUAUUGGUUAAUAUCAGAGUAUUAAUAAACAGCAAAAUGUUGUCUGCAUGAGACAUACCAUCAUAAAAUAUGGCAUGAAAUCAAGCAGUGAAACCUUAGAUAUGCUAUAUAAAUUCAUUAAUACAAAGAUAUUUUUUGUCUUUAAAUGGUGUAACUUUCAUUUAUAAGAAAAAUAAUUAUAACAUUUCCAUUAAGAAAAGUGAUGGGAGUUCCUGUUGUGGCACAGUGGAAAUGAAUCCAACUAGUAACCAUGAGGUUGCGGGUUUGAUCCAUAGCCUCACUCAGUGGGUUAAGGAUCCAGCAUUGCCAUGAGCUGUGGUGUAGGUCACAGACGUGGCUUGGAUCUUUUUAAUUGCCGUGGCUGUGGUAUAGGCCAGCAGCUGAGGCUCUGAUUUGAUUACCCCUAACCUGGGAACCUCCAUAUGCCUCAAGUGCGGCCCUCAG
RNAcentral lists this long non-coding RNA (5242 nucleotides) under Sus scrofa (pig). Its description in RNAcentral is "lncRNA (ENSSSCG00035021967.1)". The record is from RNAcentral. Lineage: Eukaryota; Metazoa; Chordata; Mammalia; Artiodactyla; Suidae.